GACGAACGCUGGCGGCGUGCUUAACACAUGCAAGUCGAACGGUAAGGCCCUUCGGGGUACACGAGUGGCGAACGGGUGAGUAACACGUGGGUGAUCUGCCCUGCACUUCGGGAUAAGCCUGGGAAACUGGGUCUAAUACCGGAUAGGACCACUGCCUGCAUGGGUGGUGGUGGAAAGCUUUUGCGGUGUGGGAUGGGCCCGCGGCCUAUCCGCUUGUUGGUGGGGUGAUGGCCUACCAAGGCGACGACGGGUAGCCGGCCUGCGAGGGUGACCGGCCACACUGGGACUGAGGUACGGCCCAGACUCCUACGGGAGGCAGCAGUGGGGAAUAUUGCACAAUGGGCGCAAGCCUGAUGCAGCGACGCCGCGUGAGGGAUGACGGCCUUCGGGUUGUAAACCUCUUUCAGCACCGACGAAGCGCAAGUGACGGUAGGUGCAGAAGAAGGACCGGCCAACUACGUGCCAGCAGCCGCCGUAA
RNAcentral lists this ribosomal RNA (478 nucleotides) under uncultured bacterium. Its description in RNAcentral is "partial 16S ribosomal RNA". It matches the Rfam family "Bacterial small subunit ribosomal RNA", at positions 28 to 523 of the family's 1533-position model. The record is from RNAcentral.